UCUAACACCUGAACAAUUUUUUACUUUCAUGAGAAAAAAUUUCAAACUUUAUGUCAACAGUUUCAGGUUGGUAGUAGAAUUAGCUUCUGAAAAGUGUUUACUUCCUUCUUUUGGUAUCUAUUUUUCCUUCCUUUUGGUUUUGUGUUUGUUUUAUGUUCAUGUUCAUAUUAAUUUUUUUAUUUUAAUCAGUGGGAUGCAAGUGGAGUACUUGAGUUGGAAUUUGGAGUACAGCUUCCGUUAUUAAGACCUUUAGGCUUAAAGCUUUCUGGUAUAAUAGUGUGCGCAAGCUUGAAGUUAUAUGAUUGAUACUAUGGUUGGCACUUGGCAGAUAUGGGUUUCAGUCAGAUGAUCAGUUUAUUUGCAUUGACGAGAUUACCAAAGGAAUCAAGUCUUUUCAGUGUCAGGCAAUUGCAUCAAUCUGUUACCCUGAUAUAGUUUUAUGAAUGUCUGUUUUUUCCUGCUGCCUUUCUUCCCCAUCUUCGUGCAAGUAUAUUCAACUCAUUUCUAUAUCUGAUGUUAAGAUAAAUAGUCCAACAGUAUUUAGCUGAGUAUACAUCUUCCCAAGAUGCAUCUUCCUCUGCGGAACUUCAAAAAGGUUCUUUUGGAACUCCAGUAGGCAUAAAAUGAAAGAAAAAUAGUUGCAUUUAUCAUGUCUUUUUGUUUUUAUAUAAAUGCGAUCCACUGCAUGGCAUUUUCAUUAAUCUGAUACCCUAGCACUCAAUUUUAUAAGAUUUCGCGUUUAGAGCAGCUCUAAUUAGCAGGAUGAUAACAGCUAAAUUUUAAACCACAGACCAUGGUUGUGUUAAUAUUAUUAUUNUCUGUUCAUCAAGAUGAAACUGUGGAAAUCCUGUAUUGAGACAGAGACUCCAAGAACAGGAAAUGAAUCCUGUGCGAAUUUUAAUUUUAUACACAGUUUUGAAAAUAAUUGGGAGUCAAUGUCAUCCUUUUGUAUCUCUGGCUUCUAUUUUCGGGUAAAAUAUAUGACUAAAUUUGUCACUCCCUUUGUUUGGAAUGAAAUAUCUAGUAUAGAAACCGCUACAAGUGCUAACGCUGCUGAAUGUUACAUUCCCUGAUCCUGAAGAAGAUUCUCAUAUGUCUGGUUCAGGUUCACCCUUCCACAACAGGAUAGGUGUUGAGCCUUCAGCUCAAUAAGAACAACCAUACCUGCAGAGUGUGGUCGUGUGUGUGAUUAAGCUGGAGAGGGUGGUAUAGUUUUAUUAUUGAGUCUGUUAAAAUCUGGUUAAUUAGUUAAAUAACAGACCAUUAGUGAAACGGUGGGUUUUGUACCUUGAGCAAAGUUCACUGUUUUUAAGUCACUUAAGUUCAGUGUUGUUUAGCUUCUAAAUUCUUGUAUAUAAGACAGCUGUUGUCCUGGUUACCUUUUUCUUCUUUCUCUAAAAUCAUUUCAAUAGGCAUGAAAGAGCAAAGAUAAGCUAGGAGGCUUCCUUAUCACAGAAAGGUUGUUUCAGAUAACUCUCCAACCGCUAUUGAGGAGAGAGUCUUCCAUGCAACGAAUGUAUGGUACUAUUAACCAAUCAUGAGGUAAGUGCAUGUCACAUUUGCUGAUGUGGUGUUGUAUGAUUGGUUGAUUGUGUAUACAUAUGUUACAGAAUAGUUUUUUUUUUUUUUCUUGCCCUUAUUAUUCGGACACAACACUGUACAUGUUCGUAUUACUUUUGUCUCUGUAAAGAGUGUUUUCCCUCUAUUUGGCUGAGGUUUAACAUGGAGGACUUGAGCGUUUGUGCCGUCAUGUUGGGUGAGACUGUCCCAUUUAGUUUUUUCGGUAUUUCAUUAUCAAAUGGAAGAACAAAAUUAUAAUAUAAACAAAUAUCCUUUUCACAUUUCUCAAUAAAUCGGGGUCUAUAACAAAGUCUAUUAAUUAUUGUAACUCAAUCCAAUCGAGAGAGCCAGCGAUAAAUCGAGGGAGAGGCAAUACAAUGCUAUAUAUGACUCAUCCAUGGUCCUCCAUCAGGGACAUUUCACUUUUCCCUUCUUGACAUUACAUGUUAAAUUACAAAUCAGAAGUUGACGGAAGAAAGAUGGUGUGCGGCAGUGAAAUUUGACUUUUGACAGUUGACAAAUAUUUUGGGAGUUGGGUAAUUGAUGAAGGCCAAUCUUAUCGAUGAUCCAGAGGGCUGAAGAAUAGAGAUAAUUGAGACCUAGAGCGGAACAGAGUGUUUGAACUAAUGAGCAUUUUGCUUUUGAGAUAGCAUACAACCAGGUGGGCAAUGAUACUGAAUCAAAAGGCGGUACCGAAUCGAUCAAUUCAGAUAUUCAGACUGUAACUAUGUCGCCCCUAGCAAGAUAGUACUUUCUCUAUACAUGCAUGCUUUGGUAAGCAUGCAUAUACAUUUUUGUUCACCAGGUUUAGACCUUCUUCAUCUUGAGCUGUUUACUUUACCAAUGGCAUUGUUCCGAGACUAUCUUAUUGGAAAUUGUUUUAUGAGUGAAAACACAAGAAAGGUGAGUUUGUGUACAAAACAGAACUGAAACUCUGCAGAAAUCAGAGGAAGCAAAAGACGAGUCUAGAGUCUAUUUAUUUAUUAUUAUUAUUAUUAUUAUU
This is a long non-coding RNA of Pistacia vera, 2563 nucleotides long. RefSeq lists it as uncharacterized. The record is from RefSeq and is a predicted model, not a curated record. Lineage: Eukaryota; Viridiplantae; Streptophyta; Magnoliopsida; Sapindales; Anacardiaceae. The transcript has 4 exons.